GAUGAACGCUGGCGGCGUGUCUAACACAUGCAAGUCGAGCGAACGGACGAGAAGCUUGCUUCUCUGAUGUUAGCGGCGGACGGGUGAGUAACACGUGGAUAAACUACCUAUAAGACUGGGAUAACCUUGGGAAUCCGGAGCCAAAACCGGAGGAUAAUUUGAACCGCACAGUUCAAAAGUGAAAGGCGGUCCUGCUGUCACUUAUAGCUGGAUCCGCGCUGCAUUAGCUAGUUGGUAAGGUAACGGCUGACCAAGGCAACGAUGCAUAGCCGACCUGAGAGCCUGCUCGCUCACACUAGAACUGAGACACGGUGCAGACGCCUACGGGAGGCACCAGUAGGGAAUCUUCCGCAAAGCGCGCAAGCCUGACGGAGCAACCCCGCGUGAGUGAUGUACGUCUUCGCAUCGUAAAGCUCUGUUAUGAGGGAAAAACAUAUGGGUAAGUAACUGUGCACAUCCUGACGGUACCUAAUCAGAAAGCCACGCCUAACUUCGUC
RNAcentral lists this ribosomal RNA (497 nucleotides) under uncultured bacterium. RNAcentral's name for it is "partial 16S ribosomal RNA". It matches the Rfam family "Bacterial small subunit ribosomal RNA", at positions 28 to 507 of the family's 1533-position model. The record is from RNAcentral.